This 259-nucleotide ribosomal RNA is filed under the name Lysinibacillus fusiformis. Its description in RNAcentral is "partial 16S ribosomal RNA". It matches the Rfam family "Bacterial small subunit ribosomal RNA", at positions 564 to 822 of the family's 1533-position model. Lineage: Bacteria; Bacillati; Bacillota; Bacilli; Caryophanales; Bacillaceae. The record is from RNAcentral.
AGCGCGCGCAGGUGGUUUCUUAAGUCUGAUGUGAAAGCCCACGGCUCAACCGUGGAGGGUCAUUGGAAACUGGGAGACUUGAGUGCAGAAGAGGAAAGUGGAAUUCCAUGUGUAGCGGUGAAAUGCGUAGAGAUAUGGAGGAACACCAGUGGCGAAGGCGACUUUCUGGUCUGUAACUGACACUGAGGCGCGAAAGCGUGGGGAGCAAACAGGAUUAGAUACCCUGGUAGUCCACGCCGUAAACGAUGAGUGCUAAGUG